GGGAUAACACCUGGAAACAGAUGCUAAUACCGGAUAACAACACUAGACGCAUGUCUAGAGUUUGAAAGAUGGUUCUGCUAUCACUCUUGGAUGGACCUGCGGUGCAUUAGCUAGUUGGUAAGGUAACGGCUUACCAAGGCAAUGAUGCAUAGCCGAGUUGAGAGACUGAUCGGCCACAUUGGGACUGAGACACGGCCCAAACUCCUACGGGAGGCAGCAGUAGGGAAUCUUCCACAAUGGACGAAAGUCUGAUGGAGCAACGCCGCGUGAGUGAAGAAGGGUUUCGGCUCGUAAAGCUCUGUUGGUAGUGAAGAAAGAUAGAGGUAGUAACUGGCCUUUAUUUGACGGUAAUUACUUAGAAAGUCACGGCUAACUACGUGCCAGCAGCCGCGGUAAUACGUAGGUGGCAAGCGUUGUCCGGAUUUAUUGGGCGUAAAGCGAGUGCAGGCGGUUCAAUAAGUCUGAUGUGAAAGCCUUCGGCUCAACCGGAGAAUUGCAUCAGAAACUGUUGAACUUGAGUGCAGAAGAGGAGAGUGGAACUCCAUGUGUAGCGGUGGAAUGCGUAGAUAUAUGGAAGAACACCAGUGGCGAAGGCGGCUCUCUGGUCUGCAACUGACGCUGAGGCUCGAAAGCAUGGGUAGCGAACAGGAUUAGAUACCCUGGUAGUCCAUGCCGUAAACGAUGAGUGCUAAGUGUUG
RNAcentral lists this ribosomal RNA (698 nucleotides) under uncultured bacterium. RNAcentral describes it as "bacterial SSU rRNA". It matches the Rfam family "Bacterial small subunit ribosomal RNA", at positions 140 to 825 of the family's 1533-position model. The record is from RNAcentral.